RNAcentral lists this long non-coding RNA (486 nucleotides) under Phoenix dactylifera (date palm). RNAcentral's name for it is "long non-coding RNA (PDAC_LNC009790)". Lineage: Eukaryota; Viridiplantae; Streptophyta; Magnoliopsida; Arecales; Arecaceae. The record is from RNAcentral.
CAGUUUUAACUUAUCUUUGACAAGAGAUUGAUUUUCUUCUUUUAGAACUUUAUUUUUAUUAACUAGUUUCUUAUGUUCUUCCAUGAGUUCUAAGAAUGCAUCAUGUAAUUCAUCAACAGUAAAAUCACAGUCAAGUUCAGAAUCUACCUCAUCGUCAUUGGCCAUAUGACACAUUUGGGCCGUCUCUUGAUGAUCUUCCUCUUCCGAACUUGAUUCCUCACUUUCACUCCAUUCAGCCAUGAAGUUCUUCUUUUUCAGUUUUCUUGCCCGGGUUUGUUACACUUAUAGCAAAUGGGAGUUUCUUUUUCCUUUUCUUUGUCCUUACCCUUUUCUUUGCUUGAGUUACCUUUGAUGAAGGGUUUCUUUCUAUAGAAUCUAUUCUUACCUCUCAUAAAUUUUCUGAAUUUUCUCCCAAGCAUAGCCAUCCCUUCUUCAUCAAUUUCUUCAUCAUCAUCUGAAUCUUCCGAUUCAGUUUGUUGUUUAGGG